UCCCCAGACUCCUACGGGAGGCAGCAGUGGGGAAUAUUGCACAAUGGGGGAAACCCUGAUGCAGCAACGCCGCGUGAGUGAAGAAGUCAUUCGUGAUGUAAAGCUCUAUCAGCAGGGAAGAAAAUGACGGUACCUGAGGAAUAAGCCACGGCUAACUACGUGCCAGCAGCCGCGGUAAUACGUAGGUGGCAAGCGUUAUCCGGAUUUACUGGGUGUAAAGGGCGUGUAGGCGGGAAAGCAAGUCAGAUGUGAAAACCAUGGGCUCAACCUGUGGCCUGCAUUUGAAACUGUUUUUCUUGAGUACUGGAGAGGCAGACGGAAUUCCUAGUGUAGCGGUGAAAUGCGUAGAUAUUAGGAGGAACACCAGUGGCGAAGGCGGUCUGCUGGACAGCAACUGACGCUGAGGCGCGAAAGCGUGGGGAGCAAACAGGAUUAGAUACCCUGGUA
Molecule: ribosomal RNA, 447 nt
Filed under: uncultured bacterium
Lineage: Bacteria
Description: bacterial SSU rRNA
Rfam family: Bacterial small subunit ribosomal RNA
Source: RNAcentral